This 98-nucleotide small RNA is filed under the name Salmonella enterica. Its description in RNAcentral is "partial RtT sRNA". It matches the Rfam family "RtT RNA", at positions 31 to 130 of the family's 130-position model. Rfam says of the family: This family represents a bacterial cis-regulatory element known as RtT RNA. The exact function of RtT is unknown although it is thought that it may be involved in changing the cellular response in relation to amino acid starvation. The record is from RNAcentral. Lineage: Bacteria; Pseudomonadati; Pseudomonadota; Gammaproteobacteria; Enterobacterales; Enterobacteriaceae. RNAcentral also lists the same sequence under 1 other name.
CCUGCCGCAGGUCCGGGUCUCACGUAGUGAGACAACGGAGCCGCUUGCGGCGACGGCCCGAAGGGCGAGCAAAGCGAGUCAUCCUGCACGACCCACCA